Molecule: ribosomal RNA, 251 nt
Filed under: uncultured bacterium
Lineage: Bacteria
Description: partial 16S ribosomal RNA
Rfam family: Bacterial small subunit ribosomal RNA
Source: RNAcentral
UACGGGGGGGCAAGCGUUGUUCGGAAUUACUGGGCGUAAAGGGCGCGUAGGCGGCCUUCUAAGUCGGACGUGAAAUCCCUCGGCUUAACCGACGGAACUGCGUCCGAUACUGAAAGGCUUGAAUCCGGGAGAGGGAUGUGGAAUUCCAGGUGUAGCGGUGAAAUGCGUAGAUAUCUGGAGGAACACCGGUGGCGAAGGCGGCAUCCUGGACCGGCAUUGACGCUGAGGCGCGAAAGCUAGGGAGCAACAGG